UUGCUCCUUUGACGUUAGCGGCGGACGGGUGAGUAACACGUGGAUAACCUACCUAUAAGACUGGGAUAACUUCGGGAAACCGGAGCUAAUACCGGAUAACAUAUUGAACCGCAUGGUUCAAUAGUGAAAGGCGGCUUUGCUGUCACUUAUAGAUGGAUCCGCGCCGUAUUAGCUAGUUGGUAAGGUAACGGCUUACCAAGGCAACGAUACGUAGCCGACCUGAGAGGGUGAUCGGCCACACUGGAACUGAGACACGGUCCAGACUCCUACGGGAGGCAGCAGUAGGGAAUCUUCCGCAAUGGGCGAAAGCCUGACGGAGCAACGCCGCGUGAGUGAUGAAGGUCUUCGGAUCGUAAAACUCUGUUAUCAGGGAAGAACAAAUGUGUAAGUAACUGUGCACAUCUUGACGGUACCUGAUCAGAAAGCCACGGCUAACUACGUGCCAGCAGCCGCGGUAAUACGUAGGUGGCAAGCGUUAUCCGGAAUUAUUGGGCGUAAAGCGCGCGUAGGCGGUUUUUUAAGUCUGAUGUGAAAGCCCACGGCUCAACCGUGGAGGGUCAUUGGAAACUGGAAAACUUGAGUGCAGAAGAGGAAAGUGGAAUUCCAUGUGUAGCGGUGAAAUGCGCAGAGAUAUGGAGGAACACCAGUGGCGAAGGCGACUUUCUGGUCUGUAACUGACGCUGAUGUGCGAAAGCGUGGGGAUCAAACAGGAUUAGAUACCCUGGUAGUCCACGCCGUAAACGAUGA
RNAcentral lists this ribosomal RNA (747 nucleotides) under Staphylococcus warneri. RNAcentral's name for it is "bacterial SSU rRNA". It matches the Rfam family "Bacterial small subunit ribosomal RNA", at positions 80 to 812 of the family's 1533-position model. Lineage: Bacteria; Bacillati; Bacillota; Bacilli; Caryophanales; Staphylococcaceae. The record is from RNAcentral.